GUGAGGAAUUUUCCGCAAUGGGCGAAAGCCUGACGGAGCAAUGCCGCGUGAAGGAUGAAGGCCUAUGGGUUGUAAACUUCUUUUCUCAGAAAAGAAUUAUGACGGUAUCUGAGGAAUAAGCAUCGGCUACUCUGUGCCAGCAGCCGCGGUAAGACAGAGGAUGCAAGCGUUAUCCGGAAUGAUUGGGCGUAAAGCGUCUGUAGGUUGUUUAAAAAGUAUUCUGUCAAAGAUUAGGGCUUAACCCUAGAUAGGCAGAAUAAACUUUUAAGCUAGAGUUUGGUAGAGGCAGAGGGAAUUCCCGGUGGAGCGGUGAAAUGCGUAGAUAUCGGGAGGAACACCAAAGGCGAAGGCACUCUGCUGGGCCAAUACUAACACUGAGAGACGAAAGCGAGGGGAGCAAAUGGGAUUAGAAACCCGAGUAGUCC
This 425-nucleotide ribosomal RNA is filed under the name uncultured bacterium. Its description in RNAcentral is "partial 16S ribosomal RNA". It matches the Rfam family "Bacterial small subunit ribosomal RNA", at positions 354 to 796 of the family's 1533-position model. The record is from RNAcentral.